GCAGCCGCCACGGGAAUACGAAGGGGGCUAGCGUUGUUCGGAUUUACUGGGCGUAAAGCGCACGUAGGCGGAUCCUUAAGUCAGAGGUGAAAUCCCAAGGCUCAACCUUGGAACUGCCUUUGAUACUGGGGAUCUCGAGUUCGGGAGAGGUGAGUGGAACUGCGAGUGUAGAGGUGAAAUUCGUAGAUAUUCGCAAGAACACCAGUGGCGAAGGCGGCUCACUGGCCCGAUACUGACGCUGAGGAGCGAAAGCGUGGGGAGCGAACAGGAUUAGAGACCCCAGUAGUCCCUGUCUCUUAUAC
This 302-nucleotide ribosomal RNA is filed under the name uncultured bacterium. Its description in RNAcentral is "partial 16S ribosomal RNA". It matches the Rfam family "Bacterial small subunit ribosomal RNA", at positions 508 to 807 of the family's 1533-position model. The record is from RNAcentral.